UACGGGAGGAGCAGUGGGGAAUAUUGCACAAUGGGCGCAAGCCUGAUGCAGCCAUGCCGCGUGUAUGAAAAAGGCCUUCGGGUUGUAAAGUACUUUCAGUCGUGAGGAAGGUGUUAAGGUUAAUAACCUUAGCAAUUGACGUUAGCGACAGAAGAAGCACCGGCUAACUCCGUGCCAGCAGCCGCGGUAAUACGGAGGGUGCGAGCGUUAAUCGGAAUUACUGGGCGUAAAGGGCACGCAGGCGGUUAAUUAAGUUGGAUGUGAAAUCCCCGGGCUUAACCUGGGAAUGGCAUUCAAGACUGGUUAGCUAGAGUCUUGUAGAGGGGGUAGAAUUCCAUGUGUAGCGGUGAAAUGCGUAGAGAUGUGGAGGAUACCGGUGGCGAAGGCGGCCCCUGGACAAGACUGACGCUCAUGUGCGAAAGCGUGGGGAGCAAACAGGGAUUAGAUACC
RNAcentral lists this ribosomal RNA (450 nucleotides) under uncultured bacterium. RNAcentral's name for it is "bacterial SSU rRNA". It matches the Rfam family "Bacterial small subunit ribosomal RNA", at positions 340 to 786 of the family's 1533-position model. The record is from RNAcentral.